This is a non-coding RNA of Mycena latifolia, 92 nucleotides long. NCBI's taxonomy places the organism in Eukaryota, Fungi, Basidiomycota, Agaricomycetes, Agaricales, Mycenaceae. The record is from the annotation of a GenBank genome assembly.
GCGGACGUAGUGUAGGGCGCACCGCUGCAUUCUGUAAAGCUUCUGGAAGUGUAUAAAAGCAGUCAAACGGGGUUCGACUCCCCGCGUCCGCC